RNAcentral lists this ribosomal RNA (440 nucleotides) under uncultured bacterium. RNAcentral's name for it is "partial 16S ribosomal RNA". It matches the Rfam family "Bacterial small subunit ribosomal RNA", at positions 338 to 795 of the family's 1533-position model. The record is from RNAcentral.
CCUACGGGUGACAGCAGUAGGGAAUAUUGCUCAAUGGCCGAAACCCUGAAGCAGCAAAGCCGCGUGGAGGAUGAAGGUUUUCGGAGUGUAAACUCCCUUUGGUAGAGAAGAUAAUGACGGUAUCUAACGAAUAAGCACCGGCUAACUCCGUGCCAGCAGCCGCGGGAAUACGGAGGGGGCAAGCGUUACUCGGAAUCACUGGGCGUAAAGAGGGCGUAGGCGGGAUAGCAAGUCAGAUGUGAAAUCCUAUGGCCUAACCAUAGAACUGCAGUUGAAACUGUUAUUCUAGAGUAUGGGAGAGGUAGGUGGAAUUCUUGGUGUAGGGGUGAAAUCCGUAGAGAUCACGAAGAAUACUCAUUGCGAAGGCAACCUGCUAGAACAUAACUGACGCUGAUGCGCGAAAGCGUGGGGAGCAAACAGGAUUAGAUACCCGAGUAGUC